This 70-nucleotide transfer RNA is filed under the name Tenomerga trabecula. RNAcentral's name for it is "tRNA-Gln". The record is from RNAcentral. Lineage: Eukaryota; Metazoa; Arthropoda; Insecta; Coleoptera; Cupedidae.
UACAUUCAAGUAUAAAGAUGUACAAAAGCUUUUGAUGUUUUAGGUAAUAGUUUAAUUCUAUUGGGUGUAU